Molecule: long non-coding RNA, 1233 nt
Filed under: Phasianus colchicus (ring-necked pheasant)
Lineage: Eukaryota; Metazoa; Chordata; Aves; Galliformes; Phasianidae
Description: lncRNA (ENSPCLG00000004067.1)
Source: RNAcentral
GGAAGUGAUGGCCAUGCAGUUAGGUGUUUCCAUCUGUGCAAUCCUCUACAUGAGUAUAGUGGUAAACACAUAGCAUUGAACAUGUUUAUUGCAGAUGUGGGAGGUGAGUUAAAGUAAAUCUUAUUGUGUUUAUGAUUCUGUUGUAAAAUUUUAGUUCUUUGGAAACUUUGCAGAAUUUUACAGAAGUUCCAAAUAUCUGCUUCCUGGAGCUGUGCCUUGUCUUUAUUGUAGCUGAGUACUUAUGUGGUCCAGAAGUUGCCCAACUCCCUGUAAGCAUAGGAGCCUAACAUCAGUUAGCUCUGUACUGGUGCAGUUUCCUUAACUGGAAGUCCUUACAACGUCUUGUCACAGGAUGUAUGCCUGUCAACAAUUAAUCUGUACAUGUGCAACAUGAAUUCCUUGGACUGAUAGAUUCUUCCUAGGUCUCCAGUGAGAAUAUGGUUGCCAGUGCUGUCAGACACAGAAUUAACAGGACUGAACAUAUAGCAACAGACCUCCUGGAGGAUUGCCAUACUGGCCUGGAAGAAACCAGUACACUGUCCAUUUCUGGGCAAUAUUAGCUUCUUUGGGAAAGUGGAAUGUACUCAGGCUCUAAUAGCAACUGCAGAGGUGCUUGGCAUCUCUGGUAUUGAUCAUAUUUCACAACAAUCUUUGGCUGAUGUUGAUGGUACCAAAGAAUUACUGUGCAAAAAUAAAUCCCUUAGAAAUUCCUUAACAAGAAACCUCAACCAAGAAAGUCAGCUGUGACAGACAUGCCUAGCAGUUUUACCAGCUCAUUUCACGUUGGUCAUCCAGUGACUUUCGGAGUACCCACUGCUUUGGACUGAUUGAAAACCGUUUGCUUAAGAUGGAAAUAUUUCAUAUCCUAUUACUAAUCACCUGAGCCAGCUGGCCUCCUCCUACCCCCAUGGUCAUUAUUUUUUAAGGAAAAUCAUUUAAGUACAGAAACUUGGCUCUUUGUUCUUUCACUUAGGUCCCCAGCAUUCUGUGCUGUGUCAGAGAGUUCUUAGGGAGUCUGGGGAAAAAAAAAUGCAAAACUGGGAGACUGCAAAGAUGUGAAAGGAACAACAUCCAAACAAUGUAUCUAGUCAACAUAUCUGAUGUUGCAUGCUAAUUACAACUUUCUCUAUGCUUCUGGAGUUCUGUAGUUUGUGUCUGGACUUGCUGUGCUUUUUGUCUCCAAGUUUUCCUGUUUUGCUUUUCACUUUUGUUAGUGCAAAAAGAAUUGUGCUC